Molecule: ribosomal RNA, 486 nt
Filed under: uncultured bacterium
Lineage: Bacteria
Description: partial 16S ribosomal RNA
Rfam family: Bacterial small subunit ribosomal RNA
Source: RNAcentral
AUUGAACGCUGGCGGCAUGCCUUACACAUGCAAGUCGAACGGCAGCACGGGUGCUUGCACCUGGUGGCGAGUGGCGAACGGGUGAGUAAUACAUCGGAACAUGUCCUGUAGUGGGGGAUAGCCCGGCGAAAGCCGGAUUAAUACCGCAUACGAUCCACGGAUGAAAGCGGGGGACCUUCGGGCCUCGCGCUAUAGGGUUGGCCGAUGGCUGAUUAGCUAGUUGGUGGGGUAAAGGCCUACCAAGGCGACGAUCAGUAGCUGGUCUGAGAGGACGACCAGCCACACUGGGACUGAGACACGGCCCAGACUCCUACGGGAGGCAGCAGUGGGGAAUUUUGGACAAUGGGCGAAAGCCUGAUCCAGCAAUGCCGCGUGUGUGAAGACGGCCUUCGGGUUGUAAAGCACUUUUGUCCGGAAAGAAAUCCUUGACUCUAAUACAGUCGGGGGAUGACGGUACCGGAAGAAUAAGCACCGGCUAACUACGUG